Molecule: transfer RNA, 76 nt
Filed under: Gemmiger gallinarum
Lineage: Bacteria; Bacillati; Bacillota; Clostridia; Eubacteriales; Oscillospiraceae
Description: tRNA-Thr
Rfam family: tRNA
About the family: Transfer RNA (tRNA) molecules are approximately 80 nucleotides in length. Their secondary structure includes four short double-helical elements and three loops (D, anti-codon, and T loops).
Source: RNAcentral
GCUGUCUUAGCUCAGUUGGAAGAGCAGCAGAUUUGUAAUCUGCAGGUCGUGAGUUCGAGUCUCACCGGCAGCUCCA